CUUUUAAUGCGGCCUAUUGUCGGUCUCAUGCCCGAAGAAAAUGCAGAGAGGAAG
RNAcentral lists this non-coding RNA (54 nucleotides) under Nasonia vitripennis (jewel wasp). The record is from RNAcentral. Lineage: Eukaryota; Metazoa; Arthropoda; Insecta; Hymenoptera; Pteromalidae.